AGCGGAGGAAAAGAAACCAACAGGGAUUGCCCUAGUAACGGCGAGUGAAGCGGCAUCAGCUCAAAUUUGAAAUCUGGCUCUUUCAGGGUCCGAGUUGUAAUUUGCAGAGGGCGCUUUGGUGUUGGCAGCGGUCCAAGUUCCUUGGAACAGGACGUCACAGAGGGUGAGAAUCCCGUACGUGGUCGCUGGCCUUCGCCGUGUAAAGCCCCUUCGACGAGUCGAGUUGUUUGGGAAUGCAGCUCUAAAUGGGAGGUAAAUUUCUUCUAAAGCUAAAUACUGGCCAGAGACCGAUAGCGCACAAGUAGAGUGAUCGAAAGAUGAAAAGCACUUUGGAAAGAGAGUCAAAUAGCACGUGAAAUUGUUGAAAGGGAAGCGCUUGCAGCCAGACUUGCCUGUAGUUGCUCAUCUAGGCUCUUUGCCUAGUGCACUCUUCUGCGGGCAGGCCAGCAUCAGUCUAGGCGGUUGGAUAAAGGCCUCUGUCAUGUACCUCCUCUCGGGGAGGCCUUAUAGGGGAGGCGUAAUGCAACCAGCCUGGACUGAGGUCCGCGCAUCUGCUAGGAUGCUGGCGUAAUGGCUGUAAGCGGCCCGUCUUGAAACACGGACCAAGGAGUCUAACAUCUAUGCGAGUGUUUGGGUGUCAAGCCCGAGCGCGUAAUGAAAGUGAACGGAGGUGGGAUCCCUUUAGGGUGCACCAUCGACCGAUCCUGAUGUCUUCGGAUGGAUUUGAGUAAGAGCAUGGCUGUUGGGACCCGAAAGAUGGUGAACUAUGCUUGAAUAGGGUGAAGCCAGAGGAAACUCUGGUGGAGGCUCGCAGCGGUUCUGACGUGCAAAUCGAUCGUCAAAUUUGGGCAUAGGGGCGAAAGACU
Molecule: ribosomal RNA, 866 nt
Filed under: Neocucurbitaria juglandicola
Lineage: Eukaryota; Fungi; Ascomycota; Dothideomycetes; Pleosporales; Cucurbitariaceae
Description: partial large subunit ribosomal RNA
Rfam family: Eukaryotic large subunit ribosomal RNA
Source: RNAcentral